RNAcentral lists this long non-coding RNA (1128 nucleotides) under Numida meleagris (helmeted guineafowl). RNAcentral's name for it is "lncRNA (ENSNMEG00000001228.1)". Lineage: Eukaryota; Metazoa; Chordata; Aves; Galliformes; Numididae. The record is from RNAcentral.
CUUUGCCUGGUACAUAUUGAGGGCAAAGGAAUGCAAAAAAAAGUCUUUGAGAAACAGGUCAUUUGUUCACUAAUUAUUAUGAGAGUAUUAGAAGAUAAAGGAGGAACGCGUGAUUUAUUCAUAAGUUGGGAUAAUGUCUCUUUCUGACAAGGGGGGAGUACAUAGUAUUUUUAUCUUCUGUUUUUCCAAACCAAAAGUGAGAGUGAGAUGCCAGAGGUCCAAAUUGACACUUCCAGAAAGAGCAGAUUCCUGAGCAUCAAGGUCCCUCUUCUGAUAACUAAGGUGGAAGGUGUUUUGGAAAUCUUGCUUUUAGAUAUAAAAAUGACAAACAGGACCAAUAAUACAAACAAGGUCUAGGUCAGCCACAGAUGAAGACUUGAGAUAUCUGUUACAUAAUGGAUGCAAUCAAAGAAAUGACAGUGCCAGCAUUGCAGAUAGCCCACCAGUUUUCCUGGUUUCUAACUGGAAGAUGUAUGUGCAUCUAUUUCCUCCACUGAAUCAACUGUUUUCACUUUUUAAAUUCAUUUUCUUCUAGCAAAUAAAUUGUAAUAGAGCCCAGGCACAUGGUCCAUGAAGCAGUUGUAUUCAUUAUAAGGAAUAUUACCAGCUGUUUAAAUGGAGAUGCAGUGUUGGAAAAUCACAUGGCUUGGGACAGACUGAUCUUCUAAGAGAUGUGCAGAAGGAAAAUAUUCAGAAAUUUACUGUCUGUACAACAAACUCUGAAUUACUGUAUGUAUGGCAGUGAUGGCCACAGGGAGAUGGUGGAGCAGACCUACAUAAGUAAUAAGGAACAGUCUCCACGUUUUUAUCCUUAUUCCUAUCUUUCUUCAUCAGAGUGUCCUGCUGCUUGGACAUAAGACUAGAGGACAUAAGAUACCAGGACUAGCGAGGGCUAGCAAACUUCACUAAAUCAUAUAUGCUAGAAAAUUUUGACAAGUACAAAUAAUGAUGUUUUAUUGAAAAUAUUCAGUUCUGUAAGUCUCUGGUUGAAAAUUACUCCCCAUAAGAUUUUGAAACCUGUUUACUUUCUUCUUUACAUACCUGUACAACCUCUGGCUUUCCUUUGAUCCCAAACCCUGAUCGUGGGAGCAGGAGAUACAUUCCUGACACCGAAAGAGCUGAAGUCCU